GACGGGGCCCGCACAAGCGGCGGAGCAUGCGGAUUAAUUCGAUGCAACGCGAAGAACCUUACCAAGGCUUGACAUACACCGGUAACGCCCAGAGAUGGGUGCCCCUUUGUGGUCGGUGUACAGGUGGUGCAUGGUUGUCGUCAGCUCGUGUCGUGAGAUGUUGGGUUAAGUCCCGCAACGAGCGCAACCCCUAUUGUUAGUUGCCAUCAUUCAGUUGGGCACUCUAGCGAGACUGCCGGUAAUAAACCGGAGGAAGGUGGGAUGACGUCAAAUCAUCAUGCCCCUUAUGACCUGGGCUACACACGUGCUACAAUGGUUGGUACAACGAGUUGCGAGUCGGUGACGGCGAGCUAAUCUCUUAAAGCCAAUCUCAGUUCGGAUUGUAGGCUGCAACUCGCCUACAUGAAGUCGGAAUCGCUAGUAAUCGCGGAUCAGCACGCCGCGGUGAAUACGUUCCCGGGCCUU
Molecule: ribosomal RNA, 465 nt
Filed under: uncultured Streptococcus sp.
Lineage: Bacteria; Bacillati; Bacillota; Bacilli; Lactobacillales; Streptococcaceae
Description: bacterial SSU rRNA
Rfam family: Bacterial small subunit ribosomal RNA
Source: RNAcentral